GUCAGGCCAGGCCUUGGAGCCAAAUUCUAUGCAGAAUGACCAAGUGCCGAGAGCAGAAAACACGGGCUAUGUUCCUGACCCUUUGCCUGUUAGCCGUGUGGCUCUGGUUCUGGAGUGAAGGGAGCAGCAGGAUGCUCUGGGCCUUAAGUGACAGAAUUCCUAACUCUCUGAGACCAGAGCAAGGCUUUGGAAAGGCUGGAGGGAAGCCAUUAAGUCGGUGAGGUUUUCCUGGCUUGCCCCAUGGAGGCAAGAUGGCUGCAGGGACUCCAGGCAUCACGUCCAUUGAGGACAACAUCCAAUGCACAAAGGAGGGCAGGUGGCAAAGGGGCUUCUCCUCUCACAGCUCUUUAUCACAAACUGCUGCCUCCUCCAGCAUCCCUCAAAGACCGCUUUGUUUCCCAUCAGCAGGAAUGCGUGGCAGGAAGGAAUCUCCCAGGGAUUCACAGUUCACCCCUAAAUCAAUCCGUGGGGCCCGAGGGGCAAAGUAUCUGAGUGACCCAGCCCUCAGUCUUGUGUCCGUUCCUGAGAAGGAGCUCAGCCUUGCCCCUCAGGAGCUGCAUGUACCAAAUACCACAGAUGGAGGCGUGACACAGACUGUCCACUGCAGAGACCAUGGACGGAGGCAGCCUCCGAGCCAGCCCAGCAGCCAUGGACGGAGGAGCCUUGGAGCCAGCCCAGCAGCUCUCCUCACUGGAGGGGUGGACGGGACAGGACCGGCUGCUCAUUCCACGCUGGAGGGAGGCCAGGAGUCUCAGCUGGAUGCAGUCACCUGACCUGGAGAGUUCAAAGUGCCUAACACAGGAAGGUCCUGGAGGGGAUGGCCUGGGAUGGGCUAGGACCCGGUUCCCACCUCAGGAGGCCUCUGGCCAUGGAAGUGCUAAGGUGCCUAGUAUCCGUCUGUCCGGGUGACUCUGGCUUGGGGGUUGGGUGGCCUUGCCUGCGUCCAGCGACAUGGGGAGGUGUGUGUGGAAAACCAGAUGCCACCUCACUCACAUGGCGCGGGGCGGUGGCUGGGGGUUGGAGGUGAUGGCUACUGGUUCCUCCCCCACUGGGGACCAUUUCCAGGGAUGCUGCUACCCACAAGCCUGGAUCCUGGCGUGCUCCGCGGCUCUCCUUCAAGCCCUGGCCUCAUCAGACCUCCAAGGCUCCCUAGACAGGGUUAAUUAUUCACGUGGCCUGGGACCCAGGGUUCGUUUGUUUGUUUUUCCCGACACAGUAGGGUCCACGAGGAAGUCAGGAUCCACCGGCAAUAUUUGCAGUGUUAUGUUGAAUGUGGCAACUGGCUGCGUGAGGAUAGAGAAGUAAACAGCAUGUCCGGUGGCAGUCGGUUACCACACAGAAUUUAGGAGGCCCAGUGAAAUGCAAAUGCUAGGGACCCUAGUGCAGCAUGACUGGUGUCCUUUCAAAAAGGAGAAAUUUGGAUACAGACAUAGACACACACUGAGGGAAGGUGAAGUAAAGGGGCAAGGAGAAGACGGCCUGCAACGGGAGUGACGCCCUUACAAGCCGAGGGACGCCUGGCAGUGCCAGCUGACACCAGGAGCAGGGAGAGGCCAGGAAGCCUGGCAGUGCCAGCUGACACCAGGAGCAGGGAGAGGCCUGGAACGGUUCUCCCUGGAGACAUCCGGGACACACCUUGAUUUCAGGAUUCCAUGAUAGCUUCCAGAACUGCCAAAGAACGCAUUUCUGUGUUUUCAGCCACCCAGUCUGUGGUAUCUUGUGACUGCCGCCCUAGGAAAGUAAAACAAGGAGUUAAUUCAUGAAGGGUGGGGGAAAUACGUACCCUUUGAAAUACCACCUAGAGGAAGGGGUAAUAGUACACCCGAUCAUGUGCUCCAGUUUAUGAAAUAGUUGCACGUCACUCGGAAUUUUGAAAAACAAUAUAUUUUCAGGACUCAAAAGAUUUGCUUGCUAUGGACUUGUCUUGCAAAAUAAAGAAUCUCUUUGUAGACCACAUUCAUAGAUGUAUUUCAUGUAUGUUGACAUUGAUUUGGCUUGCUCAGAAAUAGGAAACGUGAGAACUUGAAUAUCAUGGCGUUUACAAAGCCAGUGAGGUCAGUUCCUCUCCUGGGCCUCAGGUGCAACCAUUGGCCGCCUGGCCUACCUCUGGAAAGCGUUUGGAGAGGGCGUGAGUUCUUGCACCCACCCUCUGGUUUUGCAAGCUCCCUCUGCCAUGGCUGGUGGAAGGCUGUGUUGGGGAGGUGGUGGAGUC
RNAcentral lists this long non-coding RNA (2212 nucleotides) under Homo sapiens (human). RNAcentral describes it as "HSALNT0404321". Lineage: Eukaryota; Metazoa; Chordata; Mammalia; Primates; Hominidae. The record is from RNAcentral.